RNAcentral lists this transfer RNA (75 nucleotides) under Cordylochernes scorpioides. Its description in RNAcentral is "tRNA-Asn". The record is from RNAcentral. Lineage: Eukaryota; Metazoa; Arthropoda; Arachnida; Pseudoscorpiones; Chernetidae.
UGUACAGUGAUGAGAAUCGAACCCACAGUGUUCCGCUUAAUGGGAAGAUGCCAUGUCCACUAGGCUACCCUGGAC